AAGAAUGACUUAUUUCUAGGUUAAAAAAUUGCCCCAAUAAUCGUGACCCCCUCCACCUCCGUUUGAGCUCGCGCGCAGCACCUCCUCCAUGACGGCUCCCCCACCUCCGUUCGACAACCCCUGACAGCACCCCAAGGCAGUAGCCCAGCCGCCGUUCGACCCCAGGACAACAACCCCACUAUUGUUCGACAUCCACAACAGUUCGUGUGACUGGACUCAACCUCUCUUCUCUGACUGGUUUCUUCCUUCUCAGGCGACAACACCUCAGGUGCAUUACGGAUUCCCCAGACCAUCAUAAUUAGUAGAUAGUAACAAAAUCUCUACAAAGAUCAAGAGUGCAUCUAGCAACCCUGAUCUUGAAAGAACUAAUUGGAAAAGAAACCCAGCUAGAGCCUAUCGUAAUUGUGAAUUUGUGAUUGACAACAGUGAAAACAAUGAUGCCUUUUCUUCUUCUAAGAAGUAUGAGAGUGA
Long non-coding RNA from Humulus lupulus (European hop), 471 nucleotides. RefSeq lists it as uncharacterized. The record is from RefSeq and is a predicted model, not a curated record. The transcript is spliced from 3 exons. Lineage: Eukaryota; Viridiplantae; Streptophyta; Magnoliopsida; Rosales; Cannabaceae.